Molecule: ribosomal RNA, 506 nt
Filed under: uncultured bacterium
Lineage: Bacteria
Description: bacterial SSU rRNA
Rfam family: Bacterial small subunit ribosomal RNA
Source: RNAcentral
AUGAUCCCCCACACUGGUACUGAGACACGGACAAGACUCCUACGGGAGGCAGCAGUGAGGAAUAUAGGUCAAUGGGCGCAAGCCUGAACCAGCCAUCCCGCGUGAAGGAAGACUGCCAUAUGGGUUGUAAACUUCUUUUAAGCACCAAGAACAGCAUCUACGUGUAGGUGUUUGACGGUAGUGCAGGAAUAAGCACCGGCUAACUCCGUGCCAGCAGCCGCGGUAAUACGGAGGGUACAAGCGUUAUCCGGAUUCAUUGGGUUUAAAGGGUACGUAGGUGGCUUUGUAAGUCAGUGGUGAAAUCCUGCCGCUUAACGGUAGAACUGCCAUUGAUACUGCAAAGCUUGAGUACAGUUGAGGCAGGCGGAAUGUGCAGUGUAGCGGUGAAAUGCUUAGAUAUUGCACAGAACCCCGAUUGCGAAGGCAGCUUGCUAAACUGUAACUGACACUGAGGUACGAAAGCGUGGGGAGCGAACAGGAUUAGAUACCCUGGUAGUCCACGCCGU